RNAcentral lists this ribosomal RNA (496 nucleotides) under uncultured bacterium. RNAcentral describes it as "partial 16S ribosomal RNA". It matches the Rfam family "Bacterial small subunit ribosomal RNA", at positions 28 to 506 of the family's 1533-position model. The record is from RNAcentral.
GACGAACGCUGGCGGCGUGCCUAAUACAUGCAAGUUGAGCGCUGAAGGUUGGUUCUUGUACCAACUGGAUUAGCAGCGAACGGGUGAGUAACGCGUGGGGAAUCUGCCUUUGAGCGGGGGACAACAUUUGGAAACGAAUGCUAAUACCGCAUAAAAACUUUAAACACAAGUUUUAAGUUUGAAAGAUGCAAUUUCUUCACUCAAAGAUGAUCCCGCGUUUUAUUAGCUAGUUGGUUAGGUAAAGGCUCACCAAGGCGAUGAUACAUAGCCGACCUGAGAGGGUGAUCGGCAACAUUGGGACGGAGACACGGCCCAAACUCCUACGGGAGGCAGCAGUAGGGAAUAUUCGGCAAUGGACGAAAGUAUGACAGAGCAACGCCGCGUGAGUGAAGAAGGUUUUCGGAUCGUAAAACUCUGUUGGUAGAGAAGAACGUAGGUGAGAGUGGAAAGCUCAUCAAGUGACGGAAACGACCCAGAAAGGGACGGCUAACUACGU